This 380-nucleotide unclassified non-coding RNA is filed under the name uncultured Gemmatimonadaceae bacterium. RNAcentral describes it as "contains 16S-23S intergenic spacer region". The record is from RNAcentral. Lineage: Bacteria; Pseudomonadati; Gemmatimonadota; Gemmatimonadia; Gemmatimonadales; Gemmatimonadaceae.
UCCGGUUUCGCACCGGCAGUCUUCUUAGAGUUCCCGGCAUUACCCGAUGGCAACUAAGAACGGGGGUUGCGCUCGUUGCGGGACUUAACCCAACAUCUCACGACACGAGCUGACGACAGCCAUGCAGCACCUGUGCACGCGCUCCGAAGAGCGGCUAUCGUUUCUGAUAACCUUCACGUACAUGUCAAGCCUGGGUAAGGUUCUUCGCGUUGCGUCGAAUUAAACCACAUGCUCCACCGCUUGUGCGGGCCCCCGUCAAUUCCUUUGAGUUUCAACCUUGCGGUCGUACUCCCCAGGCGGGGUACUUCCUGCGUUAGCGCCGGCACUCAGGGGGUCGCUCCCCCAAGCACCUAGUACCCAUCGUUUACGGCGUGGACUAC